GCUGAACUUAAGCAUAUCAAUAAGCGGAGGAAAAGAAACCAACAGGGAUUGCCCUAGUAACGGCGAGUGAAGCGGCAACAGCUCAAAUUUGAAAUCUGGCGCAAGCCCGAGUUGUAAUUUGUAGAGGAUGCUUCUAGGUAGCGACCGGUCUAAGUUCCUUGGAACAGGACGUCAUAGAGGGUGAGAAUCCCGUAUGUGACCGGCCCGCACCUUCUACGUAGCUCCUUCGACGAGUCGAGUUGUUUGGGAAUGCAGCUCUAAAUGGGAGGUAAAUUUCUUCUAAAGCUAAAUACCGGCCAGAGACCGAUAGCGCACAAGUAGAGUGAUCGAAAGAUGAAAAGCACUUUGGAAAGAGAGUUAAAAAGCACGUGAAAUUGUUGAAAGGGAAGCGCUUACAACCAGACUUCUGGGCGGUGUUCCGCCGGUCUUCUGACCGGUCUACUCACCGUCCCGAGGCCAACAUCAUCUGGGACCGCCGGAUAAGACCUCAGGAAUGUAGCUCCCCUCGGGGAGUGUUAUAGCCUGUGGUGAUGCGGCGCGUCUCGGGUGAGGUCCGCGCUUCGGCAAGGAUGUUGGCGUAAUGGUUGUCAGCGGCCCGUCUUGAAACACGGACCAAGGAGUCUAACAUCUAUGCGAGUGUUCGGGUGUCAAACCCCUACGCGUAAUGAAAGUGAACGGAGGUGGGAAGGGUAACCUGCACCAUCGACCGAUCCUGAUGUCCUCGGAUGGAUUUGAGUAAGAGCAUAGCUGUUGGGACCCGAAAGAUGGUGAACUAUGCCUGAAUAGGGUGAAGCCAGAGGAAACUCUGGUGGAGGCUCGCAGCGGUUCUGACGUGCAAAUCGAUCGUCAAAUUUGGGUAUAGGGGCGAAAGACUAAUCGAACCAUCUAGUAGCUGGGUCC
RNAcentral lists this ribosomal RNA (900 nucleotides) under Ramularia eucalypti. RNAcentral's name for it is "eukaryotic LSU rRNA". It matches the Rfam family "Eukaryotic large subunit ribosomal RNA", at positions 27 to 958 of the family's 3401-position model. Lineage: Eukaryota; Fungi; Ascomycota; Dothideomycetes; Mycosphaerellales; Mycosphaerellaceae. The record is from RNAcentral.